UUGUUACUUGAGGAUUAUAGCUGAUGAUAUUCAACAGCAAUUACUGAUGUUGUUUCCAAAUGUAGAAGCUCUAGUUUAAAAUUUAUAUGUGUGCUGGGAUCAAUUGGGUGGGAGGGAAGAUAUGUUGUCUUUGCUAAUUAUUGGAUGAGAUCCAGAAGCUUUUCUUCACAUGUAGGUUAGAUAAUACAUUCUUGUAUCACCCAAUCAUUCAUGCUAUUGUUUUACUGAGAUUAAGUUCAGAAUGAGGUAAAUAUUAGGAAGCAAAAGAAAUAGAGAUAAGAGGUAGCCCAGGUGGGGUUAAGGUUCAGUAGGUGAUUAGCAAGUACUUAUUUGUUUUUGUCUUCUUCGAGUUUCAAUUUCACUUUGAUCAGAAGUGAAAUUUAUCUUAUAUAAACCUUAUUCAUUGCCCAAUACCAUGAGCAGAUGAACACUUUCCCCCUGGGCCUCUUUAACAUCUACAAGCUAUUAAUGAAGCAAGAAAAACAUGUUCAUAAACUUAAAAGACAAUCUUUUUGAAAAAGGAAAAAAUAUUGGAGGUGAUAGAUAUGGAAGGAAAGAUAGUGAUAUGCUUGAAGGGAAUGAAAGUCAUUAAGUACUAAGGGAGAUUCGAAAAAACAUAUGCGCACAUUUUUUAAAGAUAAACAAUCAAAUAUGGCAGGCUUUUAAGCACCUUGUAGAGGAAAAGGUCAACUUUCCUUGAGUUCUAGCAUGGACAUGCUUAAAGAGAAGGAUUAAACACUGAGGGAGAAGUGAAAAAAUAUAUAUGCCAGUUGUUUAAGGAUCAAAUAAUCAAAUACGGUAGGUGUUUUUGAACACUUUGUAGGGGAAAAUCUCAACUUCCCCUAAAGGUUUAAGCGAACAAGUCCAGGGUUCCAUACUGGUCAGAACUGGGUUAGUACAAUAUGAUUUCAUAUCGUAAUAGAGAUAGAGAGAGAGAGAGGUGGAGGGAGGGAGGGAGGUAGUGCAUGCCCAAGUUGGUGGCGAACAUGGUGGGGACCUGGUUGACGAUGAC
Molecule: long non-coding RNA, 1012 nt
Filed under: Phoenix dactylifera (date palm)
Lineage: Eukaryota; Viridiplantae; Streptophyta; Magnoliopsida; Arecales; Arecaceae
Description: long non-coding RNA (PDAC_LNC016085)
Source: RNAcentral